CGGACGGGUGAGUAAUGUCUGGGAAACUGCCUGAUGGAGGGGGAUAACUACUGGAAACGGUAGCUAAUACCGCAUAACGUCGCAAGACCAAAGAGGGGGACCUUCGGGCCUCUUGCCAUCGGAUGUGCCCAGAUGGGAUUAGCUAGUAGGUGGGGUAACGGCUCACCUAGGCGACGAUCCCUAGCUGGUCUGAGAGAUGACCAGCCACACUGGAACUGAGACACGGUCCAG
This 231-nucleotide ribosomal RNA is filed under the name uncultured bacterium. RNAcentral describes it as "partial 16S ribosomal RNA". It matches the Rfam family "Bacterial small subunit ribosomal RNA", at positions 99 to 334 of the family's 1533-position model. The record is from RNAcentral.